RNAcentral lists this ribosomal RNA (233 nucleotides) under uncultured bacterium. Its description in RNAcentral is "partial 16S ribosomal RNA". It matches the Rfam family "Bacterial small subunit ribosomal RNA", at positions 333 to 583 of the family's 1533-position model. The record is from RNAcentral.
UGAAUCCUACGGGAGGCAGCAGUGGGGAAUAUUGCACAAUGGGGGAAACCCUGAUGCAGCGACGCCGCGUGAGCGAUGAAGUAUUUCGGUAUGUAAAGCUCUAUCAGCAGGGAAGAAAAUGACGGUACCUGACUAAGAAGCCCCGGCUAACUACGUGCCAGCAGCCGCGGUAAUACGUAGGGGGCAAGCGUUAUCCGGAUUUACUGGGUGUAAAGGUAGCGUAGACGGCGGCG